GGAGUCUCCGGACGCNGUUGGGAAAGGUAGGCCUCUUCUUGAAAGACUACCACCGAAGGAUGAGCCUGCGUCCCAUCAGCUAGUUGGUAAGGUAAUGGCUUACCAAGGCGAAGACGGGUAGCUGGUUUGAGAGAAUGAUCAGCCACACUGGCACUGGAACACGGGCCAGACUCCUACGGGAGGCAGCAGUGAGGAAUAUUGGGCAAUGGGCGAAAGCCUGACCCAGCCACGCCGCGUGAGUGAUGAAGGCCCUCGGGUCGUAAAGCUCUGUGGAGAGGGACGAAAACCCUGGUUUCAAAUAGGCUCCAGGCUUGACGGUACCUCUUUAGCAAGCACCGGCUAACUCUGUG
This 350-nucleotide ribosomal RNA is filed under the name uncultured bacterium. Its description in RNAcentral is "bacterial SSU rRNA". It matches the Rfam family "Bacterial small subunit ribosomal RNA", at positions 182 to 507 of the family's 1533-position model. The record is from RNAcentral.